GACGAACGCUGGCGGCGUGCUUAACACAUGCAAGUCGAACGGAAAGGCCCUGCUUUUGUGGGGUGCUCGAGUGGCGAACGGGUGAGUAACACGUGAGUAACCUGCCCUUGACUUUGGGAUAACUUCAGGAAACUGGGGCUAAUACCGGAUAGGAGCUCCUGCUGCAUGGUGGGGGUUGGAAAGUUUCGGCGGUUGGGGAUGGACUCGCGGCUUAUCAGCUUGUUGGGGGGGUAGUGGCUUACAAAGGCUUUGACGGGUAGCCGGCCUGAGAGGGUGACCGGCCACAUUGGGACUGAGAGACGGACCAGACGCCUACGGGACGCAGCAGUGGGGAAUAUUGCACAAUGGGCGGAAGCCUGAUGCAGCAACGCCGCGUGCGGGAUGACGGCCUUCGGGUGGUAAACCGCUUUCGCCUGUGACGAAGCGUGAGUGACGGUAAUGGGUAAAGAAGCACCGGCUAACUACGUG
This 468-nucleotide ribosomal RNA is filed under the name uncultured bacterium. RNAcentral describes it as "partial 16S ribosomal RNA". It matches the Rfam family "Bacterial small subunit ribosomal RNA", at positions 28 to 507 of the family's 1533-position model. The record is from RNAcentral.